GGCUGGUCUGAAGGUAGUGAGUUAUCUCAUUUGAUUGUUCACAGGCAGUUACAAAUUGAACUCCUUGUUCUAUGACUUUCCCCCGAUCUCACUACUGCACUUGAUGAGUCUUAA
RNAcentral lists this Y RNA (114 nucleotides) under Microcebus murinus (gray mouse lemur). RNAcentral describes it as "Y RNA (ENSMICG00000047322.1)". It matches the Rfam family "Y RNA". Rfam says of the family: Y RNAs are components of the Ro ribonucleoprotein particle (Ro RNP), in association with Ro60 and La proteins. Lineage: Eukaryota; Metazoa; Chordata; Mammalia; Primates; Cheirogaleidae. The record is from Rfam by way of RNAcentral.